AGUGAACGCUGGCGGUAGGCCUAACACAUGCAAGUCGAACGGCAGCACAGUAAUAGCUUGCUCUUACGGGUGGCGAGUGGCGGACUGGUGAGGAAUACAUCGGAAUCUACUUUUUCGUGGGGGAUAACGUAGGGAAACUUACGCUAAUACCGCAUACGACCUACGGUUGAAAGCAUGUGAUCUUCGGACCUUGCGCGAUUGAAUGAGCCGAUUUCGGGUUAUCUAGUUGGCGGGGUAAAGGCCCACCAAGGCGACGAUCCGUAGCUGGUCUGAGGGGAUGAUAAGCAAAACGGGAAAUGAGAAACGGGCAAGAAACCUAGGGAAGGAAGAAGUGGGGAAAAGUGGAAAAGGGGCGAAAGACUGAUCAAGCAAUACCGCGAGGGUGAAGAAGGACAUCGGGUUGUAAAGCAGUUUGGUUGGGAAAGAAAAGGAGCCGGUUAAAACCACGCUGUGCUGACGGAACCCAAAGAAUAAGCACCGGCAAACUGAGU
Molecule: ribosomal RNA, 491 nt
Filed under: uncultured bacterium
Lineage: Bacteria
Description: partial 16S ribosomal RNA
Rfam family: Bacterial small subunit ribosomal RNA
Source: RNAcentral